CAAACCGGAGGAAGGUGGGGAUGACGUCAAAUCAUCAUGCCCCUUAUGAUUUGGGCUACACACGGGCUACAAUGGACAAUACAAAGGGCAGCAAAACCGCGAGGUCAAGCAAAUCCCAUAAAGUUGUGCUCAGUUCGGAUUGUAGUCUGCAACUCGACUACAUGAAGCUGGAAUCGCUAGUAAUCGUAGAUCAGCAUGCUACGGUGAAUACGUUCCCGGG
RNAcentral lists this ribosomal RNA (220 nucleotides) under Staphylococcus hyicus. RNAcentral's name for it is "partial 16S ribosomal RNA". It matches the Rfam family "Bacterial small subunit ribosomal RNA", at positions 1159 to 1378 of the family's 1533-position model. Lineage: Bacteria; Bacillati; Bacillota; Bacilli; Caryophanales; Staphylococcaceae. The record is from RNAcentral.